Molecule: ribosomal RNA, 458 nt
Filed under: uncultured bacterium
Lineage: Bacteria
Description: bacterial SSU rRNA
Rfam family: Bacterial small subunit ribosomal RNA
Source: RNAcentral
GAUGAACGCUGGCGGCGUGCCUAACACAUGCAAGUCGAACGAUGAAACCGCCCUCGGGCGGACAUGAAGUGGCGAACGGGUGAGUAACACGUGACCGACCUGCCCCCCGCCCAGGGACAGCCCCCCGAAAGGGGGAUUAAUACCUGGUACUCCGGAAGCGGCGCAUGCCGCAUCCGGGAAAGCUCCGGCGGCGGGGGAUGGGGUCGCGGCCCAUCAGGUAGACGGCGGGGCAGAGGCCCACCGUGCCGACGACGGGUAGCCGGGUUGAGAGACCGACCGGCCACAUUGGGACUGAGAUACGGCCCAGACUCCUACGGGAGGCAGCAGUGGGGAAUUUUGCGCAAUGGGGGCAACCCUGACGCAGCAACGCCGCGUGCGGGACGAAGGCGUCCGCGUCGUAAACCGCUUUCAGCGGGGAACACUUAAACGAGGGUACCCGCAGAAGAAGCCCCGGCUAA